This is a long non-coding RNA of Lytechinus variegatus (green sea urchin), 271 nucleotides long. RefSeq lists it as uncharacterized. NCBI's taxonomy places the organism in Eukaryota, Metazoa, Echinodermata, Echinoidea, Temnopleuroida, Toxopneustidae. The transcript has 3 exons. The record is from RefSeq and is a predicted model, not a curated record.
CAGUUGACACAAGCCUGCGAGUCUUGGUUUUCGGAAAAAAGGAGGAAUGGCUCGAAUCUCAUGUCUUGAUCAACCAUGGACCUACAACUCAACAUCGCCCAGUCCCGAUUUCACGUCGGCACUAACUCAUUGCCACACCGAGGGGGUUAUUGUAGCUGCUGCAAUGUGAUUUAAAAGGAAAUCUGCUCAAUGAUUGUCUCUGAUGCAAGUCUUUGGCGAUCAACUCUUCUGAGAAGACGGGGAGAAAGUUCACCAGAGCAUCUAAACAGCG